RNAcentral lists this ribosomal RNA (324 nucleotides) under uncultured eukaryote. Its description in RNAcentral is "partial 18S ribosomal RNA". It matches the Rfam family "Eukaryotic small subunit ribosomal RNA", at positions 1470 to 1796 of the family's 1831-position model. The record is from RNAcentral.
CCCUUAGAUGUUCUGGGCCGCACGCGCGAUACACUGAUGCAUUCAACGAGUUUCUUCCUGGUCCGAGAGGAAUGGGUAACCUUUUGAAAGUGCAUCGUGAUAGGGAUAGACUAUUGCAAUUAUUGGUCUUCAACGAGGAAUUCCUAGUAGACGUAGUUCAUCAGACUGCAUCGAUUACGUCCCUGCCCUUUGUACACACCGCCCGUCGCUCCUACCGAUUGAAUGCUCAGGUGAGCCAUUCGGACUUUCAUCAUGCUGGUUUCCAGUUUUGAUGAAGGAAAGUCUUGCGAACCUUAUCAUUUAGAGGAAGGAGAAGUCGUAACA